Molecule: ribosomal RNA, 253 nt
Filed under: uncultured bacterium
Lineage: Bacteria
Description: partial 16S ribosomal RNA
Rfam family: Bacterial small subunit ribosomal RNA
Source: RNAcentral
GACGUAGGGCGCGAGCGUUGUCCGGAUUUAUUGGGCGUAAAGAGCUCGUAGGCGGCUUGUCACGUCGGGUGUGAAAGACCGGGGCUUAACUCCGGUUCUGCAUUCGAUACGGGCUAGCUAGAGUGUGGUAGGGGAGAUCGGAAUUCCUGGUGUAGCGGUGAAAUGCGCAGAUAUCAGGAGGAACACCGGUGGCGAAGGCGGAUCUCUGGGCCAUUACUGACGCUGAGGAGCGAAAGCGUGGGGAGCGAACAGG